CGUAAUGGUUUCGACGGGGACUGUGAGAUAUGAUAAGCGUAGCGGGCUGGCUAAUCCCGUAUAAUGGCUAAACUUAAAUAAUAAACGACAACAAUAAAGUUGCUAUGGCUGCCUAACUAAUUGCCCCUCGGGGUGAUUAGCGGCAGUGCUGUGGCCAAAUGCGCCACCCGUUCCUCUUGGGAGUACCUCGACCCAAGACUGAGCGUAACGCGAGAGGUGAACUUGAAUUGAGAGUCUUGUCUGUAUCAAUCAAGCAAUAAGGCAAUACUCUGUAAAUAGCCUGUUAAUCGGCGCUUUGCAGGGGAAAACUUGUAGAUUAACUGCCUACGGAGAAAUUCAUAUCAAGUGGUUUUCGGACGCGGGUUCGACUCCCGCCGAGGACACCA
This 386-nucleotide transfer-messenger RNA is filed under the name Clostridia bacterium. It matches the Rfam family "transfer-messenger RNA". Rfam says of the family: Bacterial tmRNA, also known as 10Sa RNA or SsrA, is named for its dual tRNA and mRNA-like properties. Its role is to liberate the mRNA from a stalled ribosome. To accomplish this part of the tmRNA is used as a reading frame that ends in a translation stop signal. The record is from RNAcentral. Lineage: Bacteria; Bacillati; Bacillota; Clostridia.